GCCCUCUCUUAUUCCUCCUGUGAAAACCAGCCAGGAGUUCCUUGGGUCCAAUCCCCCUUUGUUUAAUCUUUUGUCAUCUCUAUAUCCUCAGGCUCAUCAGGGAGGUGCCAAAGGUUGAUGUCAAGAGAGUCCUUGAAGACUCACCGGAAGAAUGUGUCAUCACUCGUUCAGAUAGCUAUGGCCCUUCUGACUCCAGCCAGCCUCACGGAGACACCAAUGAAAUCACAUUUGAGGAAGACAAAGUCAACUCUGCACUGGUUGUCGAGAGUCCAUCAUCUCAUGAUGUAGCGGAGGAUGCUCUAAUCAUUCUUUCAGAAGAUCGAAAAGAUCAUGAGGAGGACCGGCAAUAUGGAGACAGCCAAAAUAAACUUCUUAUGAGUCAAGCGGCCUACGACAUGGGCUGCCGGCUGAAGACGGAAG
Sapajus apella (tufted capuchin) is the source of this 420-nucleotide long non-coding RNA. RefSeq lists it as uncharacterized. The transcript is spliced from 2 exons. The record is from RefSeq and is a predicted model, not a curated record. NCBI's taxonomy places the organism in Eukaryota, Metazoa, Chordata, Mammalia, Primates, Cebidae.